RNAcentral lists this unclassified non-coding RNA (293 nucleotides) under Hevea brasiliensis (rubber tree). Lineage: Eukaryota; Viridiplantae; Streptophyta; Magnoliopsida; Malpighiales; Euphorbiaceae. The record is from RNAcentral.
UUCCAGCAUAUGUCUUACCGCCUUCCAUUGCUUUCGGUAUGCACUAUGCAGACAAAAAUAUAGUUAAUGGCCAACUAGUUCCUCAUAUGAAGGACUAAUUAUCAGAAAUCAAAGCAAUCUUUAAAAGUUUCAAUGUUUACGACAACCCCUGGCCACUAUAAUUGAAGUCAAUAUGCCAAAACCUAUUAGAAAAAUAGUAAUUAAAAGAAGAAGAUGCAGCAAAGUGAAAAUGCAACAUACAAGCAAAAGUAAACAAUGCAUCAUACUCACCUUCAUGCUCAAAAGCAUGUCUG